RNAcentral lists this ribosomal RNA (451 nucleotides) under uncultured bacterium. RNAcentral's name for it is "partial 16S ribosomal RNA". It matches the Rfam family "Bacterial small subunit ribosomal RNA", at positions 28 to 507 of the family's 1533-position model. The record is from RNAcentral.
GAUGAACGCUGGCGGCGUGCCUAACACAUGCAAGUCGAGCGGCAGCGCGGGGUGCUUGCACCCUGUCGGCGAGCGGCGGACGGCUGAGUAACGCGUGGGAACGUGCCCCAAAGUGAGGAAUAACUGCCCGAAAGGGUAGCUAAUACCGCAUAUUAUCUUCGGAUCAAAGGAUUUAUCCGCUUUGGGAGCGGCUCGCGUCGGAUUAGGUAGUUGGUGAGGUAAUGGCUCACCAAGCCGACGAUCCGUAGCUGGUCGGAGAGGAUGACCCGCCAGACUGGAACUGAGACACGGUCCAGACUCCUACGGGAGGCAGCAGUGAGUAAUCUUCCACAAGGGGCGAAAGCCUGAUGGAGCAACGCCGCGUGCAGGACGAAGGCCUUCGGGUUGUAAACUGCUUUUAUAAGUGAGGAAUAUGACGGUAACUUAUGAAUAAGGAUCGGCUAACUACGUG